RNAcentral lists this ribosomal RNA (330 nucleotides) under uncultured bacterium. RNAcentral's name for it is "bacterial SSU rRNA". It matches the Rfam family "Bacterial small subunit ribosomal RNA", at positions 568 to 898 of the family's 1533-position model. The record is from RNAcentral.
CACGCAGGCGGAUUGAUAAGUCAGGGGUGAAAUCCCGGGGCUCAACCUCGGAAUUGCCUUUGAUACUGUCUGUCUUGAGUUCGGGAGAGGUUGGCGGAAUUCCUAGUGUAGAGGUGAAAUUCGUAGAUAUUAGGAAGAACACCAGUGGCGAAGGCGGCCAACUGGCCCGAAACUGACGCUCAUGUGCGAAAGCGUGGGGAGCAAACAGGAUUAGAUACCCUGGUAGUCCACGCCGUAAACUAUGGAUGCUAGCCGUUGGGGAGCUUGCUCUUCAGUGGCGCAGCUAACGUCUUAAGCAUCCCGCCUGGGGAGUACGGUCGCAAGAUUAAA